Molecule: transfer RNA, 68 nt
Filed under: Lontra felina (marine otter)
Lineage: Eukaryota; Metazoa; Chordata; Mammalia; Carnivora; Mustelidae
Description: tRNA-Arg
Rfam family: tRNA
About the family: Transfer RNA (tRNA) molecules are approximately 80 nucleotides in length. Their secondary structure includes four short double-helical elements and three loops (D, anti-codon, and T loops).
Source: RNAcentral
UGAUAAUUAGUUUAAUAAAAACAAAUGAUUUCGACUCAUUAGAUUGUGACUCACAUUACAAUUAUCAG